Molecule: ribosomal RNA, 284 nt
Filed under: Lactiplantibacillus plantarum
Lineage: Bacteria; Bacillati; Bacillota; Bacilli; Lactobacillales; Lactobacillaceae
Description: Lactobacillus plantarum partial 23S ribosomal RNA
Rfam family: Bacterial large subunit ribosomal RNA
Source: RNAcentral
GCUCGUCCUCCCAGGGUAAGUCGGGACCUAAGCCGAGGCCGAGAGGCGUAGGCGAUGGAUAACAGGUUGAGAUUCCUGUACCAGUUAACUGCGUUUGACGAUGGAGGGACGCAGGAGGCUAAGCAAACCUCACGAUUGGAAGAGUGGGGCCAAGCAGUAAGUCAGGAUGUGAGUCAAAUGCUUACAUCCGGGUUGACAAGCUGUGAUGGGGAGCGAAAUUACAGUAGCGAAGUUGCCGAUGUCACACUGCCGAGAAAAGCUUCUAAGGAGCACGUUAACUGCCC